Pan troglodytes (chimpanzee) is the source of this 4041-nucleotide RNA transcript. It is a transcript of the gene named ATP binding cassette subfamily B member 10, with no coding region annotated. The record is from RefSeq and is a predicted model, not a curated record. Lineage: Eukaryota; Metazoa; Chordata; Mammalia; Primates; Hominidae. The transcript is spliced from 14 exons.
ACCGCGUCCACGCCCUUUGCUCGGGGCCGGAGCGGGAGGGUCCUCGGGCUUUGCGCGCGCCUGGCCGGCGGGCUGAGGCAUACGAGUCGCACGCAGCGCCAUGCGCGGACCCCCUGCCUGGCCGCUGCGGCUGCUCGCGCCACCGAGCCCAGCCGAGCCAGGUCGCCUCUUGCCGGUAGCUUGCGUGUGGGCCGCGGCCAGCCGCGUUCCCGGGUCCCUGUCGCCGUUCACUGGCCUGAGGCCGGCGCGGCUAUGGGGCGCGGGGCCCGCGCUGCUCUGGGGCGUUGGAGCCGCGCGCCGCUGGAGGAGCGGCUGCCGGGGCGGGGGUCCGGGUGCCUCGGGGGGCGGCCUGGGCCUCGCGCGGCUCCUGGGGCUGUGGGCUCGGGGCCCCGGCAGCUGCAGGUGCGGGGCUUUUGCCGGGCUAGGCGCUCCUCGCCUCCCGCGCGCCCGGUUCCCGGGCGGUCCCGCAGCCGCUGCCUGGGCAGGGGACGAGGCCUGGCGGCGCGGGCCGGCGGCGCCUCCCGGGGACAAGGGGCGGCUGCGCCCCGCAGCGGCCGGACUCACGGAGGUCCGGAAGCUCUUGGGGCUGGCGUACCCUGAGCGCCGGAGGCUGGCAGCUGCGGUUGGAUUUCUCACGAUGUCCAGUGUUAUCUCCAUGUCUGCCCCUUUCUUCCUGGGGAAGAUCAUCGAUGUCAUCUAUACCAACCCCACUGUGGACUACAGCAACAACCUGACCCACCUCUGCCUAGGGCUCAGUGCCGUGUUUCUGUGUGGUGCUGCCGCCAAUGCCAUUCGUGUCUACCUCAUGCAAACUUCAGGUCAGCGCAUUGUGAAUAGGCUGAGAACUUCAUUAUUCUCCUCCAUUCUGAGGCAGGAGGUUGCUUUCUUUGACAAGACUCGCACAGGAGAAUUGAUUAACCGCCUCUCAUCAGACACUGCACUCCUGGGGCGCUCAGUGACUGAAAACCUCUCAGAUGGGCUCAGGGCCGGGGCCCAGGCUUCUGUAGGCAUCAGUAUGAUGUUUUUUGUCUCACCUAAUCUGGCCACCUUUGUUUUGAGCGUGGUGCCUCCAGUGUCAAUCAUUGCUGUAAUUUAUGGGCGAUAUCUACGGAAACUGACCAAAGUCACUCAGGAUUCCCUGGCACAAGCCACUCAGCUAGCUGAGGAACGUAUUGGAAAUGUAAGAACUGUUCGAGCUUUUGGGAAAGAAAUGACUGAAAUCGAGAAAUAUGCCAGCAAAGUGGACCAUGUAAUGCAGUUAGCAAGGAAAGAGGCAUUCGCCCGGGCUGGUUUCUUUGGAGCAACUGGGCUCUCCGGAAACCUGAUCGUGCUUUCUGUCCUGUACAAAGGAGGGCUGCUGAUGGGCAGUGCCCACAUGACCGUGGGUGAACUCUCUUCCUUCCUAAUGUAUGCUUUCUGGGUUGGAAUAAGCAUUGGAGGUCUGAGCUCUUUCUACUCGGAGCUGAUGAAAGGACUGGGUGCAGGGGGGCGCCUCUGGGAGCUCCUGGAGAGAGAGCCCAAGCUGCCUUUUAACGAGGGGGUCAUCUUAAAUGAGAAAAGCUUCCAGGGUGCUUUGGAGUUUAAGAACGUGCAUUUUGCCUAUCCAGCUCGCCCAGAGGUGCCCAUAUUUCAGGAUUUCAGCCUUUCCAUUCCGUCAGGAUCCGUCACGGCACUGGUUGGCCCAAGUGGUUCUGGCAAAUCAACAGUGCUUUCACUCCUGCUGAGGUUGUACGACCCGGCUUCUGGAACUAUUAGUCUUGAUGGCCAUGACAUCCGUCAGCUAAACCCAGUGUGGCUGAGAUCCAAAAUUGGGACAGUGAGUCAGGAACCCAUUUUGUUUUCUUGCUCUAUUGCUGAGAACAUUGCUUAUGGUGCUGAUGACCCUUCCUCUGUGACCGCUGAGGAAAUCCAGAGAGUGGCUGAAGUGGCCAAUGCAGUGGCCUUCAUCCGGAAUUUCCCCCAAGGGUUCAAUACUGUGGUUGGAGAAAAGGGUGUUCUCCUCUCAGGUGGGCAGAAACAGCGGAUUGCGAUUGCCCGUGCUCUGCUAAAGGUAUCAUGAGCUCAGUACUGUGCUAAGGUUGUUGGAGGUAGAAGAAUUUAACACAUGGACCCUCCAUCAAGAAGCAUACAGUCUAGCCAGUGAAACAGUGAUUAUUAAUGCAAAAUAUAAAACAGCAAUCCCAAAAUUCUUCUCCUAGAUGAAGCAACCAGUGCGCUGGAUGCCGAAAAUGAGUACCUUGUUCAAGAAGCUCUAGAUCGACUGAUGGAUGGAAGAACGGUGUUAGUUAUUGCCCAUCGUCUGUCCACCAUUAAGAAUGCUAAUAUGGUUGCUGUUCUUGACCAAGGAAAAAUUACUGAAUAUGGAAAACAUGAAGAGCUGCUUUCAAAACCAAAUGGGAUAUACAGAAAACUAAUGAACAAACAAAGUUUUAUUUCAGCAUAAGGAAGCAAUUACUGGUAAACAAUAUGAGACUUUAAUGCAAAACAGUGUUGCAGAAAAAAAACUCAGAGACUAUGAAAUACAUAAACCAUUUAUCAAGUUAUUUGAAAAAUACCUAUUUUUUUCAAAGUGUGUAAAAGAUUGUUUUGAAACGUACCUGUUCUCAAGAUCUUUUUAUUCAGAGUUUUAAUAAUUGUAACUUUUUAAAUGUCUAUAGCACUGAAGUUAUUUUCAGGUUUUGUAUUUUCUUUUCUUGUGGAAUAUUUUAAUUAAUAUAGCAUGGCACCUCAUUUUGUUUUGCGUGCAGUUAAAGAUUGAAGCUAUUGUCAAAUGACAACUUUAAAAAGGCAAUUAUAAAUAAAAAGCCUGAUUAUUUUAGGCCAGUUUACCAAUCACUGUGUAAUUCUUCUGGUAGUAUUCUACCUACUUUUAAGUCUAAUUUUACAGAUAGAAUAAUGGAAAUGGAAAUUUUAACCCUUUAUUCCGAUAAUCUCAUGAAGCAAACCUAACUAUUUAACAUCAGCUGGAAAGAAGGGAACAUUUAUAUUGCCCGUCUCCUGUGUCUUCAAAGGUGUGAGAGCUGAGGAAUAUGUGUUCCUAUUGGGAACUAUGUUUGAAUAUGUGCAGUUUUCAACAUUUUGGCACAUGAAAGCCUUACAAGUUUUAAAAGGGCAGAAGCUUUAUUUUUUGAACAGGAAAAUGUGUUUUUUAAAUUCACAUGUUUGUAUGAGUACUUUUGUGAAGCAAGGCAUGAACUGCUAGGUAUUAUUAAGACUGAAUGAUUUUUGCAUUUAAAUUGUUUGAAGGCAUGUAUUUUGAAAAAUAUCUGUUACAAAUUUAUAAUUUCAAGACAAAUUGAAUCUUAUUUUAUAAUACUUUUGGAAUUUCAUUAAUAAGGCUAAAAUUUGAGGAAUAUAACUAAUUUUCAGCCUUAAGACAUUUAAGUUUGGAAGUCCUUGCUAUUCAACAGAAUAACAAGAAAACUUCAGAAUGUAUCACUCUCCUGAAAAGAAGAUAUUAAUAAGCCCUUUUAUUUAUGGUUAUAGUUUUAUUUAUAGUCUCAAAAUUCCUAAAGCAAUGCUACAACCAUUGAAUUUGCCAUAUUUUGUAUCAGUGCUGUUAAUUUGCUGUUGCCUCAAGAAAAAGUGCUUUUUCUCCAUGGAUGAGGCUAGACCCUAAGAAGUAAUUAAGUCAAUGUAAAUCAAAUGGAAGUUUUCCCAUGAACUAAGCGUUUAUUAGUUCCCUGAUUAGACUGGAAGAAGAAACCACUAUUUCAUGAAAAGCAUGGAAUAUUAUAUUUUAUUGUUCGUAAUUAAUGAAUAAAACUGAUAUGAAUGAAUGUAGUGUUCUUUGAAUUAGUAAACAGUACAUCUGUGACAAUCAUUUUUAACAAGCUCUACUUGUGUUCUUUAUAAAAUGUGAUUUUCAGAAAGCAAACAAAACACAAUUACAAGGUUGAAUCUGAGGAAAAUAAUCCUUGUGCCAUAGAAGUAUUUACAAAAUUGCAUUUCAUUGUUAUGUUUUAUUUUCUGAUACAUGAUGUUCAAUUUUAUCUUUAGGUAAUAUUUUAUAUCAUAGAUUAAAAUUUAUAGUGAACUUUA